This is a long non-coding RNA of Callithrix jacchus (white-tufted-ear marmoset), 5081 nucleotides long. NCBI's taxonomy places the organism in Eukaryota, Metazoa, Chordata, Mammalia, Primates, Cebidae. The record is from Ensembl.
AUGUUUAUACUUUCACAAUUGUUAUGUUUUCCUGUUGAACAUUCAUCAUUACAAAUGUUUCUUUUUUUAAAAUUUUUUUAUUGCAUUUUAGGUUUUGGGGUACAUGUGCAGAACAUGCAAGACAGUUGCAUAGGUGCCCCAGUCACCGGCCGAAAAUGUGCCAGCAUCUAUACAAUUUCCGUUGCGGUGACCAUGCCAACUGAAACAGCUGCCCUGAGAUUUGUGGCGCUUUUCUGCCCGGGAAUCUCCUGGUCUGGCUCUGGGCUCCAGUCCCCCUCCCAAUCUGCUGAAUGGGUGACUCUGCCUUCUAGGAGCGCCAAACGCCAACUAAAAGGGCACCCAAUCCCCUAUACUCCACACUGAGAACUGCUGCACCAGCCAAAAGAGUCACGCUGGCGACCUGUGGGGCUCCUCCGCUGGGAAUCUCCUGGUCCAUAAGCAAAAAAAAUUCGUCCGGAAGUCUGGCAUCCACUCAGUCCCUGCUCCUUCACUGGGACCUGCAACCCUGAGCUGCUGUUAGACGGCCAUCUUGGAUCUCUCUCUAUUUAUGUAUUUCGUUUUUUUUUUUUUUUUUCUUUUUUUUAAUUGCAUUUUAGGUUUUGGGGUACAUGUGAAGAACAUGUAAGAUAGUUGCAUAGGUACACACUAAUACCUUGCAGUGAGGAUAUAUCACAAUCUGUCCUAUUAAUACUUAUCGUACUAUAUAAUGGGCUUUUAACGUGCUUCAGAUUUUGACUAUUAUGCAUGAAAUUGCUGUUAAAAUUGAUUGACAAGCCUUCUGUAUGCAUGUAUUUUCAUUGUAAGUACAUAUGUAUUUAAAAUUUUAAGACACUUGAUUGUGUUUUCCUCAUAUCCUAUAGCUAGGAUUAUUGCCCCUCUGUACAAAAUUAGGAUUUCUGUUGGUGAGAAAGAAAUGAAGAAUAACUAGUAUUUAGUCAUUAAAAAUGAUAAACCAUGGGGUAUUUCACCACAUGCUGAUAUAGUCUAAUUGAUGAGCUUUGAGCCACCAUGGAUAUUUAUUUUAAAAUUGUAGGUACACCGUACGGAGAUUGCAGAUUAUUUAAGCUGUAAAGCACCCUUAGAAUUGAGAUAAUUGUCCCAUUCUCAUGUUAUUUAAGGAAAAAUCCUCAUUUUCCUUGUUUAUCAAACACCAUCCAAGGGUGGUGGAUAAAUUUAUACUGAUUUGCCAGACCCUCUUUACUUUUCACUAUUAUUUUUUGAUUGUCAGAAGCUCUCUUUAAAACAAUCUCAUGACAAUAAAUCCCAACUGAACAUCAGAUUGCACUUUAUGUUUAUAAUAUUUUAGAAUGUUUGCUGAUGAUUUUCAGCAUGUGUGUAGUUUCAGUAUUGUCAGUCAAUUUUCAUUUGUUUCACUUUCAGUUCUCAGAGUGGAAUUUUCUGAGUUUCUAAAAGUAUGCGCUCUUUCAGGAUACUAUACUGUUCUAUAUGAUACACAGAUGGCUUGCAAUUCUGUAGAACAGAAAAUCCAGAGCGUGUUUUUGCCCAUGAUUUGGAGUCAUCCCUUUUUCUCAUAAGCUCUACUAUAUUCUACUAUAUUGUUCUAUUUUACCUUCUGAGUUUCUAGAGAUGACCCUAGAGAAAAGCCAAAUGAGUGAAGCCUGCCUUCAAUCUAUACUUAUUUCUUGAUUUAUAUUUUCUCUCUUUCCCUUAUGAAAACCUUUACUGUGGAAAUACUCUGAGGAGCCUUAUCAACAGUAAUCACUUUAAUUAUUAUUCUAUCAAAGGGAAUUUGCUUUACCAGGGGUUAGACAAGUAAAGUAAUAAUAAUAAUGAAAUUUUAGCACUUUUAAAUCGGUUGGAGGAGGAAUCCUUAAGAAAAUCUAGUGCAAAAGAAGAGAAAGAGGAUGAUGCUUUUAGAAACAUGACAUUUGGGAAAUUUCCCCAUUCUGACUAAACCAAUUCAAAAGAAUGUCCUACACUAAGCCACUUACCUUGAAUCUGUUUUUGCCUUAAAAAUAAAAAGCUGAAUAUAUGCAAAAUCAAAUGUAAUGCACAGUCAUCAGCUAUUUUUAUUUAUCAAUGAAGAGUCUUAAAUCAUCACUAGAUUUUAAUAUCUAGAAUAGUAGUUUAACUGAUACAAGAUAGUUAUUCACUGUCUCUGGAUUUAAGGCAACAGAAGGAUUUAAGGCUGACUGUACAUCAGAUACAGUAGAAUUACAAAAAUCAGAAUAUAAAAUAGAAUUCAAAUAAUAAUUUACUGCUUCAAUCAAAUUCAAUUGUAUUUUUUAUCAAAGAAGACUGAUAAAUAUUAACUGAUUACUUUUAUAUUAUUUUUAAAAACCCAUAUGGAUGUAUCAAUAUGGAUACCGCUGGCACUGAAAGAUAGGACAGAAAAGUUUAUACCAGAAACCAAUUCUUUAUAUUCUGUUUACUAGACAAUGGAGAAACUAUCAAUUCGUUAAUACAUGAGUUUCCAAAUACCAGAAUGUGGAAAUUUAUAAAGCUCCUGGGAUAUGUGUCACCCAGAGAAAACAAAAUAACUUGUCUGGAUACCAAAUAUAGAAGAAAAAUACAAAUUUUGUUUUAAAGUAACAUACUAUUUUUUUUCCUUUUUUUUUUUUUUUGAGAUGGAGUCUGGUUCUGUUGCCCAGGCUAGAGUACAAUGAUGUGACCUCAGCUCACUGCAACCUCCACCUCAUGGGGUCAAGCUAUUCUCCCUGCCUCAGCCUCCCGAGCAGCUGAGAUUACAGGCACUGCCACCAUGCUCAGAUAAUUUUUGUAUUUUUAGUAAAGACAGGAUUUUACUAUGUUGGCCAGGCUAGUCUCGAACUUCUGAUCUUGGGUGAUCUGCCUGCCUCGGUCUCCCAAAGUGCUGGGAUUACAGGUGUGAGCUACCACGCCCAGCCCAUUAUUAACAUACUUGUUACUAACAACUAGUAAUGUCAUUAGUAUGUUACUAAUGUUUUAGUAUGUUACUAAUGUCAGUUUGUUACUGUCAACAUAUUUUAGUAUGUUACUAAUAUUUAGCAUGUUACUAAUGUCAAUCUGGGAUUCAUGCAUUUAUUUCAAAAUAUAUGUUGUUGGAUUAUCAGUGGAAUCCAAUGAACCAGCUAUACAGUUUCCAGGAUGCGAACUCUUUCAAUAAAAGUGGCAUAUAAUAUAGAUAUAAAAUAUAAAUAACAUAUAUAUAAACAAUAUACAUUUUGUUAUGUAUAAAAUAGCUCAAUAAACAAAUGAAUCACUAAAUAAUGCUUUUUUCUCUGUCAAUAUAUAUGAUCACAUAUUUGGCUGAUGGCAGAGAAGGUACCAUCAUGAGAUUUCAAGAGUAAAUAAUCUGUUAGAUAUGCAUCACUUCUUACUUUCUUCACUAAUUUUUCCUGUGAAAUGGUGCUGGUGUCUUCAAAUCCAAUAGAGAAAUGCAUGCAAAGAGAAUUUUUUACAUGUGGUGAAAGCUUAAAGGUUAAAUGAGAUUAUACUCAAUCCCUUGAGAUAAAUCUUUAAAAAGUCAAUGGUCUUCACUGAUGUCCAGCAAAAAUGGUAAUGCACAAGGGGUCAAAACUACUCAGACCUGAGUUUUAGCAGUUUUUGGCAACUGUUUUGAUACUGACAGAAAAUCUAUGUGUGGCAAAGAGAAUGAUACAAGGAACAACAGCAUGGUAAACUACAUCAGUGUUUAUAAAACUACUGUCCAUACCACUGGCAUUAACUUCGUGUUCAAUUUGUGUAUGGAGUCUUUUUUGUGCCAAGAUGGAGAACCUGGCUGAGAAGAUAUGUACCUGUAAAACAUCCACUUAGAGGCAACACUUCACAGUGACUACAAAGAAAAAGAACAAUGAGCAAUAAAAGAACACUGUGUUUUGGGGAAACAGGACUGUCUUUGUUCCUUUUAUUUAAUUAGAUGACUAUCAAACUAUGUUGGUAACUAAAAAAUAGUAAUCUGCCAGGAAAGAAAAAGAAUGCUGAUAGUAGAAUUCUGCUAAACAGUAUUCAAAUACACUUUAAUGAAAAUAUUUCUCAGUUCAGCUGACCUUCAUACUUUUUACUGGUACAGAGAAAACAUACAGAGUUUAAGCUGCAGUUUUCCGUAACUAGUUACAAUUUAUGUGUAUCUUGGUUAUAUUUAGCUAAUAUUAUAAUUCAUUGCAUGUAGGAUUCCCAUUUGUCUGGGACCCAUCUCUAAACUGAUAUUUUGAAUUAAUAGUUUUGAAUUAAUUGCCUGAUAUUUCUCAGGCAUCAUGAUAUAAAAUAAUCAGAAGGCUUGUGCUGAUUCUUGAAUUUACUAGCAGUCAAAAUAGAAAAUGUCUCUAUUUCUAAGUGUCCUAGUUUUCUCACCUGUUAUAUGUGAAUAAUUUGCAUUGCCUUCCCUGAAGAUAAAAUAUCAUUAUAGAUGGGGAAAUGGCUUUUACACUGCAAAGUGAUGUACAAAUGUGAGGUCCUAUCAUCAUCAUCAACCUGCUGACAUAAGCAUCUCAUUUCAGCCACUCAGUGGCUAAACAGAACUGUUUUCUCUUUUCUUAUAUUGCUGAUAAACUCUCAUGCAUUGGGGAUAUUUUCAGGACUGUCACCUGUCAUGCAUGGGAUUGGGACAAAUGUCACACUUGAUAGGAUGUGGUUUAAAGAAUUAUCUGUGUGGUUUGAAUCAACAAGGCAGAGAAUGGAAGCAGCCCCAAGUUUCCCAUCAUCCCAUGGAGAGUGAUAUUUGUUCUAAUACUUCUUACUACCUCUGGAUCACUUCAUACAGAAGACAUUCAAAGAAGGAUCUCCUCAGGAAAAAAUAAGCAGGCUGUUUGGCACAGACAAUUUCUAUUAGAGAGUGUUGCGUGCUAACAGAGUGUCUGGGAAAGUUAGGUAACCUGCACCUGUUCAUCAAGGGACAGCUGAGAAACAAAGUCCUUGGGAUGCUGCAUGCCAAAGAGAGGGCACCACUGAUCCUAUGAUAAAUCAAGUUUGGUUUCUCCUCAAGCUGAGAUAUUAAGUCUGCUGAAAUCCAGCUAGCCCUGGGUUUAAGGAAUGUAGAGUGAGCCCUUAAGAUCUGAAACAGCCCCGAUUCUUGUAUGAUACAGUCUCAGUACUCAUUCUCUAAGAAGAGACUAUUUUACUCCUAAAUUCACCAAAACUAG